Molecule: ribosomal RNA, 253 nt
Filed under: uncultured bacterium
Lineage: Bacteria
Description: partial 16S ribosomal RNA
Rfam family: Bacterial small subunit ribosomal RNA
Source: RNAcentral
UACAGAGGGUGCGAGCGUUAAUCGAAAUUACUGGGCGUAAAGGGCGCGUAGGCGGUGAGGUGUGUGGGAUGUGAAAGCCCUGGGCUUAACCUGGGAAGUGCAUACCAAACUACCUUACUGGAGUAGAGGAGAGGGUGGCGGAAUUUCCGGUGUAGCGGUGAAAUGCGUAGAGAUCGGAAGGAACGUCAAUGGCGAAGGCAGCCACCUGGCCUCAUACUGACGCUGAGGCGCGAAAGCGUGGGGAGCGAACAGG